GUCCUGCGGACCUCUAUCGUCUGGAGUGGGAACUAAUUUACAGACGGGGUUGGCUGGCUGACAGUUUGCUCCGGCAACAGCUCAGUCUAUGGGGAUCGCAGUUCUUGUCAGUAAACUAGACCUCGAUAAAGUGGACAAAAAACUAAAAUAUCUAUGGCCAGCGGGAGGAUAAACAAAGGAACACAACAUCGAGUCAUCUGGUAGUGAAUUAAAUUCUUUUCGGUCUGAACUUGAUUAGUUACUUGGGCACGUUUGGUUGUUUAUUGUGCCUGGAGAAAUUCCCUCCCCACCAUGGUUGACCAGACGGACAUGAAUGCUGAAUGCGGCUGUUAAAUUCUGGCUUUUCCCAAUAUGUAAUAUUAAGGACAAACAAAGGAAAGUGUCGCCUAAAAAACAGAAACGACAACGCUAGAACACAUUGAAGGAUGGUCACCUAACCCAGAGUUGAGCUCAAUUCGGAGUCCUAACCACCUGUACCUCAACGACAAGGUAAAUAAAAAUCAAUAUAAAUCGCCUUUGUUCACUCCUUUUUCCUUUUUAAUACCUCUUCUUUCUUUUCAUGAAAUAACAACCCGGAAUUUAAUUAUUUGCUGGUCGUCCGUCUGUCUGUCCGAAGUCUCAGAGUACUUAUGUCUAUUGGGAACUAUACCAGCGCAUGCCGUACUGCCUAUGCGUUUAUACAGCGCCUCCCUCGUUGGACUUGGACAGCGAAGAGUGUGACUCCCGUUUAGCUUUAAGUAGAUUUAGUUAUAGUUGUACUUUUAGUUCAUAUGUUAACUGUUAAUAUGAACCUCUGUUUUAAAUCCAAAGGUAUUAUCUCAUAAUAUUUGUCUUAUAUUCGUUUUAACUUAACUUCAAACCAAAAUAUUGUUUGUAUUUCUAUAUUUGUUAAUCUAAGGAGAUUUAAAUGUUCAAUUGUUCUCCUUUUUGUAUUCUUUAAAUUCUCAGUUCAAUUUAUAUGCAUAUGUGACUUGUUGCACAUUGCACUCAAUAAAAAUUACAGUGCACCAACAACUUCAAAUUUGUUCUUUGGGGAUUUUGGGAGGUCACACGUCCAGUCUUCUUCGUGGAUGUUGUAAAAAAGGACCAUCAUCCUACCUUUUUUUUGACAAAUCAUUUCUCCUGCCAUAUUGUUAUCUUUCCUUUAUUUCCCCUCUAUGACAUUUUACAACUGUUAUACAAACAGCUGUUCUUGGUGUAUGAUAUCAAUUAUUCUUCUUCUUAUUUUUUUAAAAAUUAACCCUACAAGGCGCACACCACAAACCCCACUAUCCUGCCGAUAUCAUUAUCAAAGGAUAGGAGGGAAAAAGGUGCGACAUUUGAGAAUGAAAAAUUAAUGUAACUAUAUAUAUUUAAUUUGGUACUAAAUAAGAAAAUCCGUGUUCGGCAUCCCUACGAAUUCUAAUUUGGCAUCCCUAAAGCUAAUUUUUCAAGUUUCCGAGGAAAAUAUUCUGUUGGAACAUCAUGCAAUCUUUACCCUAGUGUAAACCUAGCGUUAUCUAUAUUAGUUACCUCUCGGGUAAACAUGGCAUAAUGCAUACGUCAUACGUUACGCUUUUCCCAUUAGGCGGACUACAAAAUAUGCCAAUGAAUGGAACGUUUAUGAAUGGGUAGUGGCAUACCAUGGGUAGUGGCUUCUUUGCAAAAGAAAAAUUGGCGCGUUGUGGACGGACUUCUUCGGUGUUGCAGAAAAUUAAAAAGAUCGGAAUGAAGAUUUGGCCUGUUAGAAUUCGUGCGCCUGUCUUCCCAGUGAAAGCAACAAUGCAGUUAUUUUGCGACCGCCAUCAAUCAAAACCCAAAUUUUGUGAAUGAAAAAGUGUUUUUAUCUGAAUUUAAAUAUUUAAGGCAAAUAAAAUCCGACAAUAUUCAAAAGAAAAUCAAGUUGUAAAAACGUUAUGAAUCCAAAACACUAUAUUUAAACCAAAAUAAAGUGAGUUUCGACAAGAAUGACGAGGUUUUGAAGACGUGGAGCACAUUGAUUUUAUCAAUCAAGUAAAUCUUUGCUCCAGUAUUGCGUUGGAAAGGCACAAUAGAGGAGCGUUGCCUCAAGACCAGCUCUGCCUUCAUUUUAAAUAAACCACUGGUGUUUCUAUGACUCUUGAUAAGGUAAAUUAUGCGGAAUGCCGAAACAAUUUUUUAUCUAUAGGGAUUCGAAAACGUAGAUCAUUCACAGAUGGCUCGUUGUACUUAAAAUGAACAAAACUGGGAUCAGCUUGCUACCUAACGGACAUUAACUCGAGGACACUGGAUUGCACAUUUCGAAUAUGCACCUUUCCAGGACUCUCAAGUCGGGGCAUGCAUCGUUUACAAUACCUUAGGCGGACGGACAGAAUCGUCGCUACCGAUCUACUGUUCUAACAAGCUAGCAAACCGUGACUUACGAUUCUUCCAAUCGGAAACAACAUCGCCACCUUCCCAACCCCAUCCUACCCCUGUCGGCCGGAUACCUUGCCCAACAGCGCGACUUACGACAAAUCUAAUGCCGGGACUAAGGUGUCCGAACCUAAAGACGUAGGACAGCGUAAGGAGUGGCACCAAAAAAAUGAAAUUGGACACCUGAUUUCUCAGGCCCCAUGUUGCGGGCGCCAUUUUUGUCCUGUCCUGCGGACCUCUAUCGUCUGGAGUGGGAACUAAUUUACAGACGGGGUUGGCUGGCUGACAGUUUGCUCCGGCAACAGCUCAGUCUAUGGGGAUCGCAGUUCUUGUCAGUAAACUAGACCUCGAUAAAGUGGACAAAAAACUAAAAUAUCUAUGGCCAGCGGGAGGAUAAACAAAGGAACACAACAUCGAGUCAUCUGGUUGACCAGACGGACAUGAAUGCUGAAUGCGGCUGUUAAAUUCUGGCUUUUCCCAAUAUGUAAUAUUAAGGACAAACAAAGGAAAGUGUCGCCUAAAAAACAGAAACGACAACGCUAGAACACAUUGAAGGAUGGUCACCUAACCCAGAGUUGAGCUCAAUUCGGAGUCCUAACCACCUGUACCUCAACGACAAGGUAAAUAAAAAUCAAUAUAAAUCGCCUUUGUUCACUCCUUUUUCCUUUUUAAUACCUCUUCUUUCUUUUCAUGAAAUAACAACCCGGAAUUUAAUUAUUUGCUGGUCGUCCGUCUGUCUGUCCGAAGUCUCAGAGUACUUAUGUCUAUUGGGAACUAUACCAGCGCAUGCCGUACUGCCUAUGCGUUUAUACAGCGCCUCCCUCGUUGGACUUGGACAGCGAAGAGUGUGACUCCCGUUUAGCUUUAAGUAGAUUUAGUUAUAGUUGUACUUUUAGUUCAUAUGUUAACUGUUAAUAUGAACCUCUGUUUUAAAUCCAAAGGUAUUAUCUCAUAAUAUUUGUCUUAUAUUCGUUUUAACUUAACUUCAAACCAAAAUAUUGUUUGUAUUUCUAUAUUUGUUAAUCUAAGGAGAUUUAAAUGUUCAAUUGUUCUCCUUUUUGUAUUCUUUAAAUUCUCAGUUCAAUUUAUAUGCAUAUGUGACUUGUUGCACAUUGCACUCAAUAAAAAUUACAGUGCACCAACAA
Long non-coding RNA from Musca domestica (house fly), 3518 nucleotides. RefSeq lists it as uncharacterized. NCBI's taxonomy places the organism in Eukaryota, Metazoa, Arthropoda, Insecta, Diptera, Muscidae. The transcript is spliced from 9 exons. The record is from RefSeq and is a predicted model, not a curated record.